Molecule: ribosomal RNA, 799 nt
Filed under: uncultured Rhodoferax sp.
Lineage: Bacteria; Pseudomonadati; Pseudomonadota; Betaproteobacteria; Burkholderiales; Comamonadaceae
Description: bacterial SSU rRNA
Rfam family: Bacterial small subunit ribosomal RNA
Source: RNAcentral
AGUGAUUAGAGUUUGAUCCUGGCUCAGAUUGAACGCUGGCGGCAUGCCUUACACAUGCAAGUCGAACGGCAGCACGGGAGCAAUCCUGGUGGCGAGUGGCGAACGGGUGAGUAAUAUAUCGGAACGUGCCCAGUCGUGGGGGAUAACGCAGCGAAAGCUGUGCUAAUACCGCAUACGAUCUCUGGAUGAAAGCGGGGGACUCGCAAGGGCCUCGCGCGAUUGGAGCGGCCGAUAUCAGAUUAGCUAGUUGGUGGGGUAAAAGCCCACCAAGGCGACGAUCUGUAGCUGGUCUGAGAGGACGACCAGCCACACUGGAACUGAGACACGGUCCAGACUCCUACGGGAGGCAGCAGUGGGGAAUUUUGGACAAUGGGCGAAAGCCUGAUCCAGCAAUGCCGCGUGCAGGAUGAAGGCCUUCGGGUUGUAAACUGCUUUUGUACGGAACGAAACGGUCGCCUCUAAUACGGGUGGCUAAUGACGGUACCGUAAGAAUAAGCACCGGCUAACUACGUGCCAGCAGCCGCGGUAAUACGUAGGGUGCGAGCGUUAAUCGGAAUUACUGGGCGUAAAGCGUGCGCAGGCGGUUAUAUAAGACAGAUGUGAAAUCCCCGGGCUCAACCUGGGACCUGCAUAUGUGACUGUAUAGCUAGAGUACGGUAGAGGGGGAUGGAAUUCCGCGUGUAGCAGUGAAAUGCGUAGAUAUGCGGAGGAACACCGAUGGCGAAGGCAAUCCCCUGGACCUGUACUGACGCUCAUGCACGAAAGCGUGGGGAGCAAACAGGAUUAGAUACCCUGGUAG